Molecule: ribosomal RNA, 586 nt
Filed under: uncultured bacterium
Lineage: Bacteria
Description: bacterial SSU rRNA
Rfam family: Bacterial small subunit ribosomal RNA
Source: RNAcentral
CCUACGGGAGGCAGCAGUGGGGAAUUUUGGACAAUGGACGCAAGUCUGAUCCAGCCAUUCCGCGUGCAGGACGAAGGCCUUCGGGUUGUAAACUGCUUUUGUACGGAACGAAAAAAGCUCUUAUUAAUACUAGGAGUCCAUGACGGUACCGUAAGAAUAAGCACCGGCUAACUACGUGCCAGCAGCCGCGGUAAUACGUAGGGUGCAAGCGUUAAUCGGAAUUACUGGGCGUAAAGCGUGCGCAGGCGGUUACAUAAGACAGAUGUGAAAUCCCCGAGCUUAACUUGGGAACUGCAUUUGUGACUGUAUAGCUAGAGUACGGCAGAGGGGGAUGGAAUUCCGCGUGUAGCAGUGAAAUGCGUAGAUAUGCGGAGGAACACCGAUGGCGAAGGCAAUCCCCUGGGCCUGUACUGACGCUCAUGCACGAAAGCGUGGGGAGCAAACAGGAUUAGAUACCCUGGUAGUCCACGCCCUAAACGAUGUCAACUGGUUGUUGGGUCUUCACUGACUCAGUAACGAAGCUAACGCGUGAAGUUGACCGCCUGGGGAGUACGGCCGCAAGGUUGAAACGUCAAAGGAAUUGAGG